This 200-nucleotide unclassified non-coding RNA is filed under the name uncultured Agaricomycetes. RNAcentral describes it as "sequence contains ITS2". Lineage: Eukaryota; Fungi; Basidiomycota; Agaricomycetes. The record is from RNAcentral. RNAcentral also lists the same sequence under 2 other names.
GUACUCUCACACUUCUCAUCCUUUGGAUUUGGAGCGGUGGACUUGGGUGUUGCCGCUUUACGGUGGCUCACCUCUAAUGCAUUCGUGCAACUCUUGGUUGGACAUAGUACGGCGUGAUAAGUGUCUUCGCCGGCACCUCGCAAGAGGGUGGCUGAUUGAGAGCUCUGUGCUUUCAAACCGUCCUUGGACAAUGACUGACA